Molecule: ribosomal RNA, 100 nt
Filed under: Pelobates cultripes (western spadefoot toad)
Lineage: Eukaryota; Metazoa; Chordata; Amphibia; Anura; Pelobatidae
Source: RNAcentral
CAUACCAGUCAGAAAGUGCCUGAUCUCGUCAGAUCUCAGAAGCCAUCCAGACUUGGGCCUGGUUAGUACUUGUAUGGGAGAUGAACUCGGAACCUCAGGU